AAACCAGCACCUCAAGUGGUCAGGAUGAUUAUUGGGCCUAAAGCAUCCGUAGCCGGCUCUGUAAGUUUUCGGUUAAAUCUGUACGCUCAACGUACAGGCUGCCGGGAAUACUGUAGAGCUAGGGAGUGGGAGAGGUAGACGGUACUCGGGAGGAAGGGGUAAAAUCCUUUGAUCUCCCGAUGACCACCUGUGGCGAAGGCGGUCUACCAGAACACGUCCGACGGUGAGGGAUGAAAGCUGGGGGAGCGAUCCGGAUUAGAUACCCGAGUAGUCC
This 274-nucleotide ribosomal RNA is filed under the name uncultured bacterium. RNAcentral describes it as "partial 16S ribosomal RNA". It matches the Rfam family "Archaeal small subunit ribosomal RNA", at positions 473 to 747 of the family's 1478-position model. The record is from RNAcentral.